This 3744-nucleotide long non-coding RNA is filed under the name Strongylocentrotus purpuratus (purple sea urchin). RNAcentral describes it as "uncharacterized LOC115926582". Lineage: Eukaryota; Metazoa; Echinodermata; Echinoidea; Camarodonta; Strongylocentrotidae. The record is from RNAcentral.
GUCAGACCCUGUUUAUUAAGGUAUAUUCUAUUUUUUUGAGUAAACCUAUUUUCUAUUUUUGAGUAAGCUUAUAUUACUUUAAAUUGUUGAACCCCUAUUUAAAGUGUACCUUUAAACUAUGUUUCUAUUAAGAUCACCUCUCUGGUAUAUGCUACUGGUGAAACAAAGAGAUGGGAACAAAAAGACCCCUAUUCUAUAGGCCUUGUUUAUGUCUUAAACCCAGACCACUUCCUUUAUUCGUAGAGUACAUAAAUCAUGAAUGACCAGUGGAUACAGUUACUGGUACCCCUUUGUCUUGGGGAUAGGGAAUAGUGGGGUUGUUUGCCUGGUUUGGAAGAAAGAUUGGCUUUCUCGUUGAGAGCAAGUUUAGACUUCAAGGCAGAUAGACGUGUGAUGUAACUUCCCCCAGAAGUUACUAUGUCGCAGCUUUUUAAGACCUGCCUUGAUUUUGUUUCUUAACAGAGUUCCACCAUGGUUCCACCAUGGUUCCAGUUCCAUUUCCCUCGGGACAAGAGUUGGGACUGCUGUCGUUGUUCAGGCAACGCUCUCCGCCUGAUCGAUGUAUUUAGUGCUUACUGACGAACGACUUGUGUUUUAUCAUUGGUACUUAAUAUGAACAUCUAUUCUUUUCUUCUAUUUCCCUAAUAUGUUUCUACUGUACAGUGUAGUUUAGUUUGUUCCUUUCCUAUCAGUUAUUUUACCUGUAUAUGUUAAGAGUUAUCACUGUAAGUUUGUGAAGCCUUGCAUGUCGGCUAAAGAUUCCGCUGAUAUAUAUAACUAUUAUAUGUUUAUCAAUACAUGUUUUUAUGUAUUAUACUUAUUAUUUGGAUGAGUGAUAUUUUGUAGCUUAGCCUACCUUUGAGGUUAAGUGUUAAUAAAUCCUUUCUUUUGGAUCUUUCACUCAAACUACUCUGUGGAGAUAUCCUUAUUUGUUUUUGUUGGUUCUUUAACUAAAAUCUCCUGUAUAAAAUAAACCCCUGAACUGGGUGCAGGUGAACAAGGAUUUACCUGUGUUAACAAAUGGAGGCACUGCCCGGAUAUUAAAUUUUCUUGGAAAAUAAUAGGUGUUUUUCCCAAAAGGAAAAUCCUGUUUAGAUUAUACAUUUUUUUAUAAUUGCUUCAAUUGAGAAUUAGGUUCUCUUUACCUCUCUUUUUGCUUAGAAGAGAUUAACUAUUUUCUGUGUAUAUGAUUGUUGUGUUGAUUGCCACAACUUGUAAAACACUAAGUUGGACAUAGCGUAUAUUUGAAAGUGGUCUUAAUAAUUUGAAGUGUGACCUAAUCAAUUUUUGUUGCUGUUGUUCAGGUCAAAUCAGUAGCAGCCCUACUACUGACAGGCGUAACAGUAAACAAGGGGUAGCUUGUCCAGCUUAGUUGUUACUGUGGUUUCUAUUUUACUAUAUCAAUAUUCUCAUCAUAUAAUUAUUUUGUUUUUUAUAUAAUAAUUAGCACGUUCUUGAAUCCUGAUUGGUGUUAUAAAUAGUAUAUUUAGGCACCUUAAUAUCUUAAACUAUUUUGUAACCCUGUUUUUGGAUAGUUUAGCUUUAUAAUCUUUUUAAAAAAAAUGUCUGACUCUAACCCUAAGUUUAAGGCAGAGCUAGUGAAGUUUCUGGCCGAACAGGUGGCCAAAGAUAAACCUAAAAAGUGUCCCAUAAGGCGAUCUGCAAUUAUGAGUUUGCAGAUGACGCCAUCUCAUCAGGCCACAUCUGAUAAAUCUCCAGCCGCACUAGUAGUGGGUACCCAAUUCACUGUCUGGGCUGAGGUUGACGGAGUGUGUGCCCUAUGAGUGCCUUAUGGACACUAGGUCGAUCCCAAGUGACAUGCAUAUCUGCUUAUUGUUAUCACGAAAAGUUAGCGCACCGUCACUUGGAAUCCAUGACGACCUGUUCGUGUUUGGUGCAGGUGGAAUCAGAAGUUCCAUACAUUGUUGGGUACAUCGAGGCCCAUCUGCACUUUCACACUGACAAUUAGGUUUGCGUUCAGUCAGAGACGACAACGCUGGCACUGGUUAUUUUUAUUUUACAAGUUUUAUUGGACAAGUUAGCACCAAACCAAUGAAAUCCUUAAUUGCCACCACCCUUCCCGGGUGAAGCUCAUUCUACCCAAGAAUGAAGAAUAGUGGCAGGAGGAAUCCUUCGGCAGUUCUCUGGAAAGGGAGUGUCGUCUGAUAGUUGGAUGCGGUGUUUGACCGAAGAGGUGUACCCAAUGUUGAGGUCAUCUACAGAGAAUUACAUCUUGCCAUCUAGGUAGGAAAGUAUGAGAUUGGUUAAUCUCUCUCUGUCCUCUGAAGUCUGCGGAAAUUUAUCAUUGUAUUGACUUGUAAUUAAAGAUGUCGGGACGCCAUGAUUCUAGGAGGGGAGAGUGUCAGACCCUGUUUAUUAAGGUAUAUUCUAUUUUUUUGAGUAAACCUAUUUUCUAUUUUUGAGUAAGCUUAUAUUACUUUAAAUUGUUGAACCCCUAUUUAAAGUGUACCUUUAAACUAUGUUUCUAUUAAGAUCACCUCUCUGGUAUAUGCUACUGGUGAAACAAAGAGAUGGGAACAAAAAGACCCCUAUUCUAUAGGCCUUGUUUAUGUCUUAAACCCAGACCACUUCCUUUAUUCGUAGAGUACAUAAAUCAUGAAUGACCAGUGGAUACAGUUACUGGUACCCCUUUGUCUUGGGGAUAGGGAAUAGUGGGGUUGUUUGCCUGGUUUGGAAGAAAGAUUGGCUUUCUCGUUGAGAGCAAGUUUAGACUUCAAGGCAGAUAGACGUGUGAUGUAACUUCCCCCAGAAGUUACUAUGUCGCAGCUUUUUAAGACCUGCCUUGAUUUUGUUUCUUAACAGGUAAGCGAACACCCACCUUCCUAAAAGUAUAUUCAUGUUCUAUUCUAGUAAAUUAUAGAGAUAUCACAAGUUCCUAAUGCAAUUUGAAUUAAUUGUAUGAUAUUGUUUAGUGUGAUUCUCCUUACGUUGGAAAACCCAUUGUUAUAUUUUCAUGUGUUUAUUCCUUAACUUUUGAUACAAGAUGGUUGUGACUGUGUAUGAAUUAAGAUACCACUUUCCACAAGCCAGACCUAUUUAUAGAUAUUUCAGUCAUUGUAAAAUACUUUUUGAUUAGAUAGUUUAGUGAUAGCCCAAUAACUACUUGUAAGACGAUAAAUACUCUUGUUGAACUACUGUGUUCCAUAUAAAGAAGAAUUAUUAUUGAUUAAGUAGGAGAGCAAGUUUAGACUUCAAGGCAGAUAGACGUGUGAUGUAACUUCCCCAGAAGUUACUAUGUCGCAGCUUUUUAAGACCUGCCUUGAUUUUGUUUCUUAACAGAGUUCCACCAUGGUUCCACCAUGGUUCCAGUUCCAUUUCCCUCGGGACAAGAGUUGGGACUGCUGUCGUUGUUCAGGCAACGCUCUCCGCCUGAUCGAUGUAUUUAGUGCUUACUGACGAACGACUUGUGUUUUAUCAUUGGUACUUAAUAUGAACAUCUAUUCUUUUCUUCUAUUUCCCUAAUAUGUUUCUACUGUACAGUGUAGUUUAGUUUGUUCCUUUCCUAUCAGUUAUUUUACCUGUAUAUGUUAAGAGUUAUCACUGUAAGUUUGUGAAGCCUUGCAUGUCGGCUAAAGAUUCCGCUGAUAUAUAUAACUAUUAUAUGUUUAUCAAUACAUGUUUUUAUGUAUUAUACUUAUUAUUUGGAUGAGUGAUAUUUUGUAGCUUAGCCUACCUUUGAGGUUAAGUGUUAAUAAAUCCUUUCUUUUGGAUCUUUCACUCAAA